This 322-nucleotide ribosomal RNA is filed under the name uncultured Sandonidae. RNAcentral's name for it is "SSU rRNA". The stretch from base 112 to 322 matches the Rfam family "Eukaryotic small subunit ribosomal RNA", at positions 744 to 955 of the family's 1831-position model. Lineage: Eukaryota; Cercozoa; Glissomonadida; Viridiraptoridae. The record is from RNAcentral.
GAUUUCUGGCUUGAAACAUUUUGCCGGCCACGGUUUCGUGUGUUAGUGCUUGAUGUUCUGGCCAUCCUUCCAAUCGCUAUUCGUUCUUCUUCAUUGAGGGGCGAGUGGUAUUGGAUCUUUUACUUUGAAAAAAUUAGAGUGUUUCAAGCAGGCUUUAUGCUAUGAAUACAUUAGCAUGGAAUAAUAAUUUAGGACUUCGGUUCUAUUUUGUUGGUUUCUAGGACUGAAGUAAUGAUUGAUAGGGAUAGUUGGGGGUGCUAGUAUUCAGCGGCCAGAGGUGAAAUUCUCGGAUUCGCUGAAGACUAACUUAUGCGAAAGCAUU